Neltuma alba is the source of this 94-nucleotide long non-coding RNA. RefSeq lists it as uncharacterized. The record is from RefSeq and is a predicted model, not a curated record. The transcript has 3 exons. NCBI's taxonomy places the organism in Eukaryota, Viridiplantae, Streptophyta, Magnoliopsida, Fabales, Fabaceae.
AGAUUCAUGCAUACCAAGAAAUUGUGAAAAUUCCCAAGAAAGCAAGAAACACAACUGUGAAAGUAUCAAACUGAUGGAUGCAAUAAACUCAGUA